RNAcentral lists this ribosomal RNA (253 nucleotides) under uncultured bacterium. RNAcentral describes it as "partial 16S ribosomal RNA". It matches the Rfam family "Bacterial small subunit ribosomal RNA", at positions 524 to 776 of the family's 1533-position model. The record is from RNAcentral.
UACGGAGGGGGCUAGCGUUGUUCGGAAUUACUGGGCGUAAAGCGCACGUAGGCGGCUUUGUAAGUCAGAGGUGAAAUCCCGGGGCUCAACCCCGGAACUGCCUUUGAGACUGCAUCGCUUGAAUCCAGGAGAGGUGAGUGGAAUUCCCAGUGUAGAGGUGAAAUUCGUAGAUAUUGGGAAGAACACCGGUGGCGAAGGCGGCUCACUGGCUCGUAUCUGACGCUCAGGCGCGACAGCGUGGGGAUCAAACAGG